Molecule: long non-coding RNA, 221 nt
Organism: Callorhinchus milii (elephant shark)
Lineage: Eukaryota; Metazoa; Chordata; Chondrichthyes; Chimaeriformes; Callorhinchidae
Exons: 3
Source: RefSeq, a predicted model, not a curated record
GAGUGAGUGGCUGCUUUUCGAGAGCACAACCUUGUAAAGAAAACUUGUACAAAGAAUUUUGUGUGCUUGUUCUAUGGAAUGAUUUGGAAGCACAGCUGAAGAAGGCAACCUGCUGACUUUUCUUUGAAUGCACAGGACUAAAGAGAAUCGCACCAAAGAGAAUAGAAAUUCUGUUCUUGCUGCACAUCUUCAGUUUUCAUGGAUUAUUAUCAGGCAUGUGG